Podarcis lilfordi (Lilford's wall lizard) is the source of this 79-nucleotide non-coding RNA. Lineage: Eukaryota; Metazoa; Chordata; Lepidosauria; Squamata; Lacertidae. The record is from the annotation of a GenBank genome assembly.
GACCAUAGCUCAGUGGUAGAGCAUCUGCUUUGCAUACAGAAGGUCCUAGGUUCAGCCUCCAUCAUCUCUGGGUAGGACU